This 829-nucleotide ribosomal RNA is filed under the name uncultured archaeon. Its description in RNAcentral is "bacterial SSU rRNA". It matches the Rfam family "Archaeal small subunit ribosomal RNA", at positions 41 to 878 of the family's 1478-position model. The record is from RNAcentral.
UGACUAAGCCAUGCAAGUCGAGAGGGUUCGGCCCUCGGCGUACUGCUCAGUAACACGUGGAUAACCUGCCCUAGGGAAGGGGAUAACCCCGGGAAACUGGGGAUAAUACCCUAUAGGUUACAGAUGCUGGAAUGCUCUGUAACCCAAAGUUCCGGCGCCCUAGGAUGGAUCUGCGGCCGAUUAGGUUGUUGUUGGGGUAAUGGCCCAACAAGCCAGUAAUCGGUACGGGUUGUGGGAGCAAGAGCCCGGAGUUGGAUUCUGAGACACGAAUCCAGGCCCUACGGGGCGCAGCAGGCGCGAAAACUUUACAAUGCGGGCAACCGUGAUAAGGGAACCUCGAGUGCCUGUAAAUGCAGGCUGUUUAGGUGUUUAAAACGCACCUGGAGAAAGGGCCGGGCAAGACCGGUGCCAGCCGCCGCGGUAAUACCGGCGGCUCGAGUGGUGGCCACUUUUAUUGGGCUUAAAGCGUUCGUAGCUGGGUUGUUAAGUCUCUUGGGAAAUCUGGCGGCUUAACCGUCAGGCGUCUAAGGGAUACUGGCAAUCUUGGAACCGGGAGAGGUGAGGGGUACUUCGGGGGUAGGAGUGAAAUCCUGUAAUCCUCGAGGGACCACCUGUGGCAAAGGCGCCUCACCAGAACGGCUUCGACAGUGGGGGACGAAAGCUGGGGGAGCAAACCGGAUUAGAUACCCGGGUAGUCCCAGCCGUAAACUAUGCGCGUUAGGUGUAUCGGUGACCACGAGUUACCGAGGUGCCGAAGGGAAACCGUGAAACGUGCCGCCUGGGAAGUACGGUCGCAAGGCUGAAACUUAAAGGAAUUGGCGGGGGAGCA